CACUGCACGGUCGACCUCACUGCCCAAGGGACCAAGAGCAAAGACCACGCAUUGUUCUGAGCAGUCUUCGAAGACAGCGGACGUUCAGUAAUCAUGCAGGUUCUCGCCUGGAAAUUUGUCUUUAUUUUUAAUCCUGGUAUAUUUCACAAGAGAAAUCCCUUUUUCCUUCCCCGCCUGUGCUGAAUCUGCCGAUGACAGAACGUAGCCUGGAAAUCUAAGCAAUUCAACGAACGCUCCUUCGAGUGAAGAUCGACAAUAUCAAAGCAACUGCGGGUCUGCUAUGGGGAAUCAUGUUGUUACAUGUAAUGCAAAUGAAGAUGUUGCAUUAAGGAAGACCAUCAUUAUCAUUAUCAUCAUCAAAGCAUCAUCAUCAAAGCAUCAUUAUCAUCAUCAUCAUCAUCAUCAUCAAAGCAUCAGCAGUUUUCAACACCAAAGCCUUGCAACAUGUAUUUGAUUUUGUCAACCAAUUGCAUCGAGAACUGCGGACGUCAGUAAAUAUGGUGAAGCAUCAAGAAUAACCAGUACAACGAAUUCGUCAUUCAGUGCGAUUCUUCAAGGGACCUCUUUAUUGCGUGCAUUUUAAUUCUUGGAAAAAAUAUAGACCCACGUUUGAGAGAAAUACUUGCAGCACAUAUGAAUGAUUAUUUUUUUUAUGGUCAAUGUGUGCGCACAGGCAAUUACCAUGAUCUCGUUGAUACUGAAAAAUUGACAAUGGAGCUUAGAAUAUAAUCCAUGGUUGGCCCAAAGUACUGUACUCUAUCUGAUGGUGAAAGUUUGUUUUUAAGGUUAUGUACAUGUAUUAACAUAUUCACACGUUUGAUGUUUUUUUUAUAAAUAAAAUCUUGUU
This is a long non-coding RNA of Magallana angulata, 847 nucleotides long. RefSeq lists it as uncharacterized. NCBI's taxonomy places the organism in Eukaryota, Metazoa, Mollusca, Bivalvia, Ostreida, Ostreidae. The transcript is spliced from 4 exons. The record is from RefSeq and is a predicted model, not a curated record.